CACGUAGGGUGCGAGCGUUGUCCGGAAUUAUUGGGCGUAAAGAGCUCGUAGGCGGUGUGUCGCGUCGGCCGUGAAAACCUGCAGCUUAACUGUGGGCUUGCGGUCGAUACGGGCAUCACUGGAGUUCGGCAGGGGAGACUGGAAUUCAUGGUGUAGCAGUGAAAUGCGUAGAGAUCAUGAGGAAGACCAGUGGCGAAGGCGGGUCUCUGGACAGUUCCUGACACUGAGGCACGAAGGCCAGGGGAGCAAACGGG
RNAcentral lists this ribosomal RNA (254 nucleotides) under uncultured bacterium. Its description in RNAcentral is "partial 16S ribosomal RNA". It matches the Rfam family "Bacterial small subunit ribosomal RNA", at positions 524 to 776 of the family's 1533-position model. The record is from RNAcentral.